UACUGCAAGUCGAGCGGACCGACGGGAGCUUGCUCCCUUAGGUCAGCGGCGGACGGGUGAGUAACACGUGGGUAACCUGCCUGUAAGACUGGGAUAACUCCGGGAAACCGGGGCUAAUACCGGAUGCUUGAUUGAACCGCAUGGUUCAAUCAUAAAAGGUGGCUUUUAGCUACCACUUACAGAUGGACCCGCGGCGCAUUAGCUAGUUGGUGAGGUAACGGCUCACCAAGGCGACGAUGCGUAGCCGACCUGAGAGGGUGAUCGGCCACACUGGGACUGAGACACGGCCCAGACUCCUACGGGAGGCAGCAGUAGGGAAUCUUCCGCAAUGGACGAAAGUCUGACGGAGCAACGCCGCGUGAGUGAUGAAGGUUUUCGGAUCGUAAAACUCUGUUGUUAGGGAAGAACAAGUACCGUUCGAAUAGGGCGGCACCUUGACGGUACCUAACCAGAAAGCCACGGCUAACUACGUGCCAGCAGCCGCGGUAAUACGUAGGUGGCAAGCGUUGUCCGGAAUUAUUGGGCGUAAAGCGCGCGCAGGCGGUUUCUUAAGUCUGAUGUGAAAGCCCCCGGCUCAACCGGGGAGGGUCAUUGGAAACUGGGGAACUUGAGUGCAGAAGAGGAGAGUGGAAUUCCACGUGUAGCGGUGAAAUGCGUAGAGAUGUGGAGGAACACCAGUGGCGAAGGCGACUCUCUGGUCUGUAACUGACGCUGAGGCGCGAAAGCGUGGGGAGCGAACAGGAUUAGAUACCCUGGUAGUCCACGCCGUAAACGAUGAGUGCUAAGUGUUAGAGGGUUUCCGCCCUUUAGUGCUGCAGCAAACGCAUUAAGCACUCCGCCUGGGGAGUACGGUCGCAAGACUGAAACUCAAAGGAAUUGACGGGGGCCCGCACAAGCGGUGGAGCAUGUGGUUUAAUUCGAAGCAACGCGAAGAACCUUACCAGGUCUUGACAUCCUCUGACAACCCUAGAAAUAGGGCUUCCCCUUC
This 988-nucleotide ribosomal RNA is filed under the name Bacillus licheniformis. Its description in RNAcentral is "bacterial SSU rRNA". It matches the Rfam family "Bacterial small subunit ribosomal RNA", at positions 52 to 1021 of the family's 1533-position model. The record is from RNAcentral. Lineage: Bacteria; Bacillati; Bacillota; Bacilli; Caryophanales; Bacillaceae.